AUAAGAUCAGGGUCAACAAUCGC
RNAcentral lists this microRNA (23 nucleotides) under Lotus japonicus. Its description in RNAcentral is "lja-miR11142-3p". The record is from miRBase by way of RNAcentral. Lineage: Eukaryota; Viridiplantae; Streptophyta; Magnoliopsida; Fabales; Fabaceae.